Molecule: long non-coding RNA, 780 nt
Filed under: Parus major (Great Tit)
Lineage: Eukaryota; Metazoa; Chordata; Aves; Passeriformes; Paridae
Description: lncRNA (ENSPMJG00000002645.1)
Source: RNAcentral
ACCAGUAGACUAUCUGAGAUUUAUUUUUCUUGUUCAAUAGUGAUUACUUUUAGAAUGAGUGUAAAUGAAAUCCUAAAAUAUAUUGUUUGAGAUGAUUUCAUUUUGAACUUUCUUGUAUCACAGGCAUCAAAGAGUGCACUUCCUUACAAAGUGCUGCACCAAGAAUCCUCAGCCAAGCUUUGAACCUUCAUUGGUGAGAAGCCAGUCACAGCAAACAGAAUUCAAGAGCUUGGGGAUGAACACGUGGUGGUGAUAAGAAAUGAGUUUCUCCCACAGCCAGGUCCAGAUGAGAUCAGCAAUAUGGACAUCUUAGUUUUCCAUAGAGAGAGAAAUUUCAAGAAAUAUCUGCUGUUGCUCUGAGGGAUCUGUUUCAAGACCAGAGAAUCCUACAAAAUCCUUUAGGCCAAACUGCACAUGGGCAUGAUGAUGUUAUGAAUGUUAUGUUAUGUAUGUUAUGAAUGCUGCUGAUAUGAUGCUGAUGCUGCUAUUAUGAUGUGCAAACAGAACAUGUCUACAGAGGGCUGCAAAGGCAGAUCCUCAAAAUAUAAUAUCCCCCCCUUGCUCAUUUGAGACCCACAACAAUUUUUUAUUAACUGAAACUCUAUUAUUUACUGUGUUGAAUUCACCUCUCUUUUAGGGACUUUAUAUCCCUCUGUCACUUUGCUCUUUCUUUCUGCAAUUACUCUGUAUUCUGUGUGCCUUAACAUUAUCCUCCUUUAUCAUUAAUUAAAGGUGGAAAAAAAAUCAUAGAAUAAAUCAGGUUGUAAAAGACCUUUAACA